Long non-coding RNA from Melopsittacus undulatus (budgerigar), 2270 nucleotides. The record is from Ensembl. NCBI's taxonomy places the organism in Eukaryota, Metazoa, Chordata, Aves, Psittaciformes, Psittaculidae.
AUGGGGGUCUAUAGGGGUCUAUGGGGGUCAAUGGCACCCAUAGUGGGUGCUGACCCCCCUUCCUCUCCCAUGGGUGCAGCCAAUGGGGCCCAGGGGCUGCCUGGGCCUGGCCAGAGGCUUCCUCUUCCUCUUCAACAGCGCGGCCGCGGUGAGCACCCAUGGGUGCUAUGGGGUCAAUGGGUGCUAUGGGGGGGCUAUGGGUCAAUGGGGGUCAAUGGGUGCUAUGGGGGGGCUAUGGGUCAAUGGGGGUCAAUGGGUGCUAUGGGAUGCUAUUGGGGGUGCUAUAGGGUGCUGUGGGUGCUAUGGGGGUUAAUGGGUGCUAUGGGGUGCUUUGGGGGUGCUAUGGGGGGGCUGUGGGUGCUGUGGAUGCUAUGGGGGGGCUGUGAGUGCUAUAGGGUGCUAUGGGGGUUAAUGGGUGCUAUGGGGUGCUUUGGGGGUGCUAUGGGGGGGCUGUGGGUGCUAUGGGGUGCUUUGGGGGUGCUAUGGGGGGGCUGUGAGUGCUAUAGGGUGCUAUGGGGGUUAAUGGGUGCUAUGGAUGCUAUGGGGUGCUAUUGCGGUGCUAUGCGGUGCUAUGGGGUCAAUGGGGGCUAUUGGUGCUUUGGGGUGCUGGGGGUGCUAUGGGGUAAACGGGUGCUAUGGGGUGCUCUGGGGUCAAUGGAUGCUAUGGGUGCUAUGGGUUCUAUGGGGUCAAUGGGUGUUGUGGGGGUCAAUGGGUGCUAUGGGUCUCUAUGGGUGCUAUGGGGUCAAUGGGUGCUAUGGAUCUCUAUGGGUGCUCUGUUUUGCCCCCCCCAGCUUUUAGGGUCUCUCCUCGUGGCCUUUGGCCUCUGGGCCCUCCUUGACCGCUGGAGCCUCAGCUGGGUGCUGGGCUCCCCAUUGCUGGCGCUCCGGGGCUGGGCCUGGCUCUGCUUGGGGGUCGGAGGCUGCACCGUGACCUUGGGGGCCCUGGGGGGCAUCGGGGCCCUGCGGGGGGGCAGGGUCCUGCUGGGGCUGGUGAGUGGGGGGGCAGGGGGGAGGGGGGGCAGUUAUGGGGCUGGGGGGGGAGGGGCACGUGUGGGGCCAGCCCCAUAUGUUCUCCUGCCCCCCAAGUACUUCGGGGUCCUGCUGCUGCUCUUCACUGCCCAGAUCACUGUGGGGGUCAUUGCCUACACCCAGCGCGUCCAUGUGAGUGCGGUGGGGCUGCGCUAUGGGGUAAGGUUGUGGGGCUGGGCUAUGCUAUGGGGCUGGGUUAUGGGGCAGGGCAAUGGGGCUGGGUUAUGCUAUGGGGCUGUGAUAUGGGGCGCGGUUAUGGGGUGGGCAAUGGGGCUGGGCUAUGGGGCAGGGCAAUGGGGCUGGGUUAUGCUAUGGGGCUGGGUUAUGGGGCAGGGCAAUGGGGCUGGGUUAUGCUAUGGGGCAGGGUUAUGGGGCUGGGUUAUGGGGUGGGCAAUGGGGCAGGGCUCCCUCUGCCCCCCAGGUGUUCUCCAAGAUGGCGGCGCACGCGCGGGACCUGAUCCGGGGGUACCCGGCCCAGGGACCCCCAGGGGAGCCCCACGAGGCCUGGGACCUUGUCCAGCAACAGCUCCAUUGCUGUGGCUGGGCUGGGCCCCAGGACUGGAGCCCCCGUGGGGCCGUCGCCUGCUCCUGCCUGGUCCCCAACAGCACCCGAGGGACCCUCCCGCGCCUGCCCCAUGGCCGCUGCCCCAUGGCUGCACCGCAGGACCUGUUCCCUAUGGGCUGUGCCGAGCGCUCCCGGCUGUGGCUGGCCCAGAACCUGCCCUCAGUGCUCGGGGGCAGCCUUGGCUGUGGCCUCGUGGAGCUGCUGCUGCUCCUGCUCUCCAUGUUCCUCAUCCGGAACCUGGACCCAGACGAGCCCCCGAUGGCGCCGUGAGCUCCGCCCCUUCCCCUCCUUCAGCCAAUAAAACACCAGGACCCGGCAGCGCCAACCAAUGAGAGCGGGGAAGGGGCGGGGCCACGCCCCCUUCCAGCACAGGGCCCGGCUUGGGGCCAGUCCCAAAGGGCCACGCCCCUUCCCUCCGAAGACCACGCCCCUCUGCGCUGUGAUUGGCUCAACCCCUCCGAGCGGGAACAGCUCCCGCGUGGCCCCGCCCCUUUUACCUCAGACCUCCCCCUUGGCCACGCCCCUCUGCGUUGUGAUUGGCUCAGCCCCUCUUGGGCGGGAACUCCUCGCUCUGAGCCCCGCCCCUUUCACCUCAGGACUCCUCUUGGCCCCGCCCCUCCCUUCAGAUCCAGGCUUCUGAUUGGCUCAGCCCCCGCGGGUGGCACCGCUGAGCCCC